UAGUUUUACCAUUGCAUUGGAG
RNAcentral lists this microRNA (22 nucleotides) under Anolis carolinensis (green anole). RNAcentral describes it as "aca-miR-5413-5p". The record is from miRBase by way of RNAcentral. Lineage: Eukaryota; Metazoa; Chordata; Lepidosauria; Squamata; Anolidae.